GCUUACGGCCAUACCAGCCUGNNUACGCCCGAUCUCGUCCGAUCUCGGAAGCUAAGCAGGGUCGGGCCUGGUUAGUGCUUGGAUGGGAGACCGCCUGGGAAUACCAGGUGCUGUAAGCUU
This 120-nucleotide ribosomal RNA is filed under the name Pagrus pagrus x Pagrus auriga. The record is from RNAcentral. Lineage: Eukaryota; Metazoa; Chordata; Actinopteri; Spariformes; Sparidae.